RNAcentral lists this ribosomal RNA (406 nucleotides) under uncultured bacterium. RNAcentral describes it as "partial 16S ribosomal RNA". It matches the Rfam family "Bacterial small subunit ribosomal RNA", at positions 30 to 526 of the family's 1533-position model. The record is from RNAcentral.
AUUGAACGCUGGCGGCAGGCCUAACACAUGCAAGUCGAACGGGUGGCGGACUGGUGAGUAAUUGUUUGGAAUCUGGCUUAUGUAGGGGUCUAACUACGGUAAACUGUAGCUAAUACCGCGUACGAUAGGCUGUGCCCAGGUGGGAUUAGCUAGUAGGUGGGGUAACGGCUCACCUAGACGACGAUCCCUAGCUGGUCUGAGAGGAUGACCAGCCACACUGGAACUGAGACACGGUCCAGACUCCUACGGGAGGCAGCAGUGGGGAAUAUUGCACAAUGGGCGAAAGCCUGAUGCAGCCAUGCCGCGUGUAUGAAGAAGGCCUUCGGGUUGUAAAGUACUGUCAGCGAGGAGGCGUUACUCGAAGAAGAAGCAACGGCUAACUCCGUGCCAGCAGCCGCGGUAAUUC